Molecule: long non-coding RNA, 199 nt
Organism: Myotis daubentonii (Daubenton's bat)
Lineage: Eukaryota; Metazoa; Chordata; Mammalia; Chiroptera; Vespertilionidae
Exons: 3
Source: RefSeq, a predicted model, not a curated record
UUUGGCUCAGUGGCUAAAGUGUCGGCCUGUGGACUGAAGAGUCCCAGGUUCGAUUCCAGUCAAGGGCAUCUAGCUCAGUUGCAGGUUCCCCUGCCCUGGUCAGGGUGCGUGAAGGAGGCAACCAAUCAGUGUUUAUCUCUCACAUUGAUGUUUCUCUCUCUCUCUCUCUCUCUCUCUCUCUCUCUCUCUCUCUCUCUCC